This 498-nucleotide ribosomal RNA is filed under the name uncultured bacterium. Its description in RNAcentral is "partial 16S ribosomal RNA". It matches the Rfam family "Bacterial small subunit ribosomal RNA", at positions 27 to 507 of the family's 1533-position model. The record is from RNAcentral.
GGAUGAACGCUGGCGGCGUGCCUAAUACAUGCAAGUCGAGCGAACGGACGAGAAGCUUGCUUUUCUGAUGUUAGCGGCGGACGGGUGAGUAACACGUGGAUAACCUACCUAUAAGACUGGGAUAACUUCGGGAAACCGGAGCUAAUACCGGAUAAUAUUUUGAACCGCAUGGUUCAAAAGUGAAAGACGGUCUUGCUGUCACUUAUAGAUGGAUCCGCGCUUCAUUAGCUAGUUGGUAAGGUAACGGCUUACCAAGGCAACGAUGCAUAGCCGACCUGAGAGGGUGAUCGGCCACACUGGAACUGAGACACGGUCCAGACUCCUACGGGAGGCAGCAGUAGGGAAUCUUCCGCAAUGGGCGAAAGCCUGACGGAGCAACGCCGCGUGAGUGAUGAAGGUCUUCGGAUCGUAAAACUCUGUUAUUAGGGAAGAACAUAUGUGUAAGUAACUGUGCACAUCUUGACGGUACCUAAUCAGAAAGCCACGGCUAACUACGUG